CUACGGGUGGCUCUAGUGGGGAAUAUUGGACAAUGGGCGAAAGCCUGAUCCAGCAAUACCGCGUGUGUGAAGAAGGCCUGAGGGUUGUAAAGCACUUUCAAUAGGAAGGAAUACCUAUCGGUUAAUACCCGGUAGACUGACAUUACCUAUACAAGAAGCACCGGCUAACGCCGUGCCAGCAGCCGCGGUAAUACGGAGGGUGCAAGCGUUAAUCGGAAUUACUGGGCGUAAAGCGUGCGUAGGCGGUUAUUUAAGUCAGAUGUGAAAGCCCUGGGCUUAACCUGGGAACUGCAUUUGAUACUGGAUGACUAGAGUUGAGUAGAGGAGAGUGGAAUUUCAGGUGUAGCGGUGAAAUGCGUAGAGAUCUGAAGGAACACCAGUGACGAAGGCGGCUCUCUGGACUCAAACUGACGCUGAGGUACGAAAGCGUGGGUAGCAAACAGGAUUAGAUACCCUAGUAGUC
RNAcentral lists this ribosomal RNA (463 nucleotides) under uncultured bacterium. Its description in RNAcentral is "partial 16S ribosomal RNA". It matches the Rfam family "Bacterial small subunit ribosomal RNA", at positions 339 to 795 of the family's 1533-position model. The record is from RNAcentral.